CAUGCAGAAACAUGAAGAGUGGGGCCUGGUGCAUGAACCUUUUGGAGUUCACAGAAUGUGGUCUACUUUACUGAUUUGAUUAGAGGCCUGGAUUGGCUCAAGAAUGUUUCCACCAAGUUGAGUUGAAGUUGGAUUUGGUACAAAAAUUUCACAGAGACCUAAUUAAAAUAUGAAGUUACAUUUUCCUGCUUGUAUAACACAUUAUACAAAAUACAUAAACAAAAUAAACAUC
Molecule: long non-coding RNA, 232 nt
Organism: Spea bombifrons (plains spadefoot toad)
Lineage: Eukaryota; Metazoa; Chordata; Amphibia; Anura; Pelobatidae
Exons: 2
Source: RefSeq, a predicted model, not a curated record